CCCUUAGAUGUUCUGGGCCGCACGCGUGCUACACUGAGUGGAUCAGCGGGUCAGGUUGCGCGAAAGCGUUUCCUAAUCUUUAAAUCCGCUCGUGAUGGGGAUUGACGGUUGCAAUUUUCUGUCAUGAACGAGGAAUUCCUUGUAAGCGCGGGUCAUCAUCCCGCGCUGAAUACGUCCCUGCCCUUUGUACACACCGCCCGUCGCUCCUACCGGUUGAGUGGUCCGGUGAGGCUUUGGGAUCUGAGCGGAAAGAGCGUUUCGCUGUUUCUGCUCGGAAAACUCAGUCGAACCUUAUCAUUUAGAGGAAGGAGAAGUCGUAACA
Molecule: ribosomal RNA, 322 nt
Filed under: uncultured eukaryote
Lineage: Eukaryota
Description: partial 18S ribosomal RNA
Rfam family: Eukaryotic small subunit ribosomal RNA
Source: RNAcentral